GGCCCAGCAUCAAGGAAAGAACGGAGAACUGCAGAGAACAAUUCACAGAUCCAGGUGCUUCCUUUGGGAGGAGGCAGCCCUGUUCUUUUCACUGGGGAGAUGAAAAAGUUCACAAGGUGUUGAACCGGAAGGGAAGCCAGUGACACCAAGCCCCUCAUUUUACAAAUGAAGAAGCUAAGACUCAGCUGGGAGUUGCUUUAUGACAUCAAGACUUGGCAUACCACUGCCUCCAAAGAACGGACAAUGAGAAUCACACCGAGAGCCAUGGGAAGGUGCCUAGUAGAUGUGACAAACAGAAUGCAACAUAUGAUCGGUGAGGAACUCUGAAGAAGAAUGAAAAUAAAGGAUUCAUCAAAGAAUAAUAUGACAGAAAGAGAAGAUGGACUGGUGGCAAGAACAAGAAAUGCAGAUGGGCGACCAGAAUACUCCAAUGGUUCCCCAAUAAUGCUGGGAUAAAUGGAGGAAGGAUAGACUUUGUGUAGUGAACUUUUGGGGAAAGUAGGCAUGGAUGGGUUAAUUAAUGAGAUACCGCUGCAUUGGAAUAUUUGAGAGAAUGCUAAAUGAUUAAUGACCAUAUUCUGAUCUCUCAUUAUAGCACAAGGAUGAUCCUAGGUUUUCAAAGACUGUCCUAGCAGAGAACAAAAUCUAUGUUUAGUUUCACCAGACUCAAAAGACUUUGAAUAUGUAGGUUGUAUGGUUAUCUUCUGAGCACUAGCUUAGGAAGGAGAGCAGAGGUUUAUCACCAGAAGGUUGUCCUAGUACUAGAUAGAUGAUAUGUGUGUGUAGAGGGGGUAAAAGUAUUGGCUGCAGAAAUUCAUUCCUGUCAUCUGCCAAUGCUCAUACAAAAUUGUGCUCUACAUCACUGGAGAAAAUAACUAAGGAAUGAAUAAAAAUAC
Dromiciops gliroides (monito del monte) is the source of this 896-nucleotide long non-coding RNA. RefSeq lists it as uncharacterized. Lineage: Eukaryota; Metazoa; Chordata; Mammalia; Microbiotheria; Microbiotheriidae. The transcript is spliced from 3 exons. The record is from RefSeq and is a predicted model, not a curated record.